Molecule: ribosomal RNA, 243 nt
Filed under: uncultured bacterium
Lineage: Bacteria
Description: partial 16S ribosomal RNA
Rfam family: Bacterial small subunit ribosomal RNA
Source: RNAcentral
UACGGAGGGGGCUAGCGUUGUUCGGAAUUACUGGGCGUAAAGCGCACGUAGGCGGCUUUGUAAGUUAGAGGUGAAAGCCCGGGGCUCAACUCCGGAAUUGCCUUUAAGACUGCAUCGCUAGAAUUGUGGAGAGGUAAGUGGAAUUCCGAGUGUAGAGGUGAAAUUCGUAGAUAUUCGGAAGAACACCCGUGGCGAAGGCGGCCAACUGGGCCGGACCUGGACGCUGAGGCGCGAAGGCGUGGG